GAUGAACGCUGGCGGCGUGCCUAAUACAUGCAAGUCGAGCGAACAGACGAGGAGCUUGCUCCUCUGACGUUAGCGGCGGACGGGUGAGUAACACGUGGAUAACCUACCUAUAAGACUUGGAUAACUUCGGGAAACCGGAGCUAAUACCGGAUAAUAUAUUGAACCGCAUGGUUCAAUAGUGAAAGACUGUUUUGCAGUCACGUAUAGAUGGAUCCGCUCCGCAUUAGCUAGUUGGUAAAGUAACGGGUUACCAAGGCAACGAUGGCUAACCGACCUGAGAGGGUGAAUGGCCACACUGGCACUGAGACACGGUCGACACUCCUACGGGAGGACGCAGUAGGAAAUCUUACGCAAUGGGCGAAAGCCUGAUGGAGCACAGUCGAGUGAGUGCUGAUGGUCUUAGGAUCCUUAAACUAUGUUAUUAGGGAAGAACAAAUGUGCAAGUAACUAUGCACGUCUUGACGGUACCUAAUCAGAAAGCCACGGCUAACUACGUG
RNAcentral lists this ribosomal RNA (497 nucleotides) under uncultured bacterium. RNAcentral describes it as "partial 16S ribosomal RNA". It matches the Rfam family "Bacterial small subunit ribosomal RNA", at positions 28 to 507 of the family's 1533-position model. The record is from RNAcentral.